AAUGGGAAUUCAGACACUGUGGGUGCGCUUUCCAAAAGGACAUUAAAAUGACAGCGCUCUUCUGAAUGCGACCGGUUCAUCGAAAAGCAACCGAGGACCCUCUCUUUAUCUCUCUGUUAAGAGAAAUAGGGGAGGGGACUGAGAAUAAAAACUGUGCAUUGAUUUUUUAAAGAUACACUUCCAUCCUGUGUGGGCUCUCAGUCUCUCUUGAGCCAUCUCUGCCUUUCUCCAGGGCUGGCAUCGGUGCCAGUGUCUUUAGGGGUUUUCGCUGGAGUGGAAGCUGGGAGACUGGAAUCCCAGGAGCCUCCAGCUCUGAGUCUCUGGGCUAGCCCCGCUGCCACAAAUGGGAUUCAAAUGUGCAGUCUCUCAGGGCAGUGCAAUCAACAAAAUAGCAUGUGAGCGUUCCCGGCCUACCGCAGGUGAAAGUUAGUUUGGUCCCCUUCUCCUAAUGAAAUAUUUUGGAGUUUCAAAGAUACAGGAAAAGGAGGUAAGAGAAGAAAAAAGAAAAAAAAUUGGAAUUCAAAAUAUUACAAAAAUGAAAUGAGGAGCAGGUAGAUUUCAGAAGAACUUGGAAAGACUUCCAUGAACAGAUGCUGAGUGAAGUGAGCAGAACCAGGAGAAUAUCCUACACAAUAACAGCAACAUUGUCUGAUGAUCGGCUAUGACUGACUUAGCUCUUCUCGGGAGUACAAUGAUCCAAGGCAAUUUCAAAAGACUCCUGAUGGAAAAUGCUACCCAGAUGUGGGAACAGAAGCCCAGAAAAUGUCAGCUAACUUACCCAAAGGCACGUGGAUAGUAAGUAACAGAAGGAGGAUUUGAACUCAGGACCCCUGACCUGGAAUCCAUCAUUGAUUUUCCACUGUCCCCCAUUGUGGGUAAGGCAUUCUUCCUAUGUACACUACUUCACAUUCUAAAAGAAACCAGAGGGCUCAAUAUCAGAGGGACUCCCAUGUUAGAGAUACUUCGCAAUCAAGAAUCUUGUUUGUAAUUAUUGGUACCUUAAAUUUUUUAUUUAUAAUUAUAAUAACCAAUUGUUGAUAAAAAAAUAAAUCUCUCUAUUUAGGAAGCAGAAGAGGUAACAAGAUUUGCAGAAAGAAAACUUGAGUUCAAAUUCUGUCUCUACCUAACCUCUUCUUUUAUUCUCAUCCCUACUAACUCAUGGGAAAUGAGUGGAUUUUAACAGCCUCAGUUGUGUAUGCCUGAGUGUGACAG
Antechinus flavipes (yellow-footed antechinus) is the source of this 1212-nucleotide long non-coding RNA. RefSeq lists it as uncharacterized. The transcript has 4 exons. The record is from RefSeq and is a predicted model, not a curated record. NCBI's taxonomy places the organism in Eukaryota, Metazoa, Chordata, Mammalia, Dasyuromorphia, Dasyuridae.